AUGCGAGUCGAGAGGGUUCGGCCCUCGGCAGACCGCUCAGUAACACGCGGAUAACCUGCCCUUGGGUGGAGGAUAAGCUCGGGAAACUGAGUAUAAUACUCCAUAGGCCAUCUAUGCUGGAACGCUUGAUGGUCGAAAGCUCAGGCGCCCAAGGAUGGGUCUGCGGCCUAUCAGGUCGUAGUUGGUGUAACGGACCAACUAGCCUUCGACGGGUACGGGCCUUGAGAGAGGUUGCCCGGAGAUGGACUCUGAGACAUGAGUCCAGGCCCUACGGGGCGCAGCAGGUGCGAAAACUUCGCAAUGUGGGAAACCACGACGAGGGGAGUCCAAGUGCUUGCACUAUGUGUAGGCUGUUUCUGUGCCUAAAAAGCACGGAGAGUAAGGGCUGGGUAAGACGGGUGCCAGCCGCCGCGGUAAUACCCGCAGCCCGAGUGGUGGUCGCUAUUAUUGGGCCUAAAACGUCCGUAGCCUGCCCGGUAAAUUCUUGGGGAAAUCGGCCAGCUUAACUGGCCGAAGUCCGAGGAGACUGCCGGGCUUGGGACUGGGUGAGGUCAGAGGUACUUCAGGGGUAGGGGUAAAAUCCUGUAAUCCUUGAAGGACCACCAGUGGCGAAGGCGUCUGACUAGAACGGAUCCGACGGUAAGGGACGAAGCCCUGGGGCACAAACGGGAUUAGAUACCCCGGUAGUCCAGGGUGUAAACGCUGUGGGCUUGGUGGUUGGGAGUCCUACGAGGGCGCCCAAUGCCGGAGAAGAAGUUGUUAAGCCUACUGCCUGGGGAGUACGCUCGCAAGAGUGAAACUUAA
RNAcentral lists this ribosomal RNA (804 nucleotides) under uncultured archaeon. RNAcentral's name for it is "bacterial SSU rRNA". It matches the Rfam family "Archaeal small subunit ribosomal RNA", at positions 51 to 859 of the family's 1478-position model. The record is from RNAcentral.